GGACGAACGCCCUGACAGGUGGGCCCCACCUGUCAGUGGCAGCGGGCGCGCGCGCGCUAGCGCUGGGCCGGCUCGGUCGGGCUGGCUCGGUCGGCCGAGGUAAGCUGGCCGGUUCGGCCCAAAAUGGCCGGGCCGGUCCGGUUUUCUCCCUUUUUUUUCUUUUAGCCUUUUCUUUUUCUCCUUUUCUCAAUUCUUUGAUAUCUUUUGAUUUUGAACUCCAAAAUGGCCCAAAUAAAUUCCAGAAAUUUCUUCAAAUCAUGUUUUAUCAUGAUUCAACUUUGGGAGUAAUUUCCCCUCAACAUAAAAUAUAUAAAAAUACAUUUGCCCUAUAAAUGCCUUUAGGGCUAUAUAACUAUUUAAAUAAAAUAGUUUUUCAGCUCCAAAAAUUAUCCAAAAAUUAUGCGAUAGCUUAUAUAUGCAAUAAACCCUUUUUAUAAAUAAACCUUAUUGGUUUGA
RNAcentral lists this long non-coding RNA (456 nucleotides) under Brachypodium distachyon (stiff brome). RNAcentral describes it as "long non-coding RNA (BDIS_LNC003573)". Lineage: Eukaryota; Viridiplantae; Streptophyta; Magnoliopsida; Poales; Poaceae. The record is from RNAcentral.